RNAcentral lists this ribosomal RNA (468 nucleotides) under uncultured bacterium. RNAcentral's name for it is "partial 16S ribosomal RNA". It matches the Rfam family "Bacterial small subunit ribosomal RNA", at positions 28 to 507 of the family's 1533-position model. The record is from RNAcentral.
GACGAACGCUGGCGGCGUGCUUAACACAUGCAAGUCGAACGGAAAGGCCCUGCUUUUGUGGGGUGCUCGAGUGGCGAACGGGUGAGUAACACGUGAGUAACCUGCCCUUGACUUUGGGAUAACUUCAGGAAACUGGGGCUAAUACCGGAUAGGAGCUCCUGCUGCAUGGUGGGGGUUGGAAAGUUUCGGCGGUUGGGGAUGGACUCGCGGCUUAUCAGCUUGUUGGUGGGGUAGUGGCUUACCAAGGCUUUGACGGGUAGCCGGCCUGAGAGGGUGACCGGCCACAUAGGGACUGAGAUACGGCCCAGACUCCUUCGGGAGGCAGAAGUGGGGGAUAUUGCACAAUGGGCGGAAGCCUGAUGCAGCAACGCCGCGUGCGGGAUGACGGCCUUCGGGUUGUAAACCGCUUUCGCCUGUGACGAAGCGUGAGUGACGGUAAUGGGUAAAGAAGCACCGGCUAACUACGUG